UGGGGAAUAUUGCACAAUGGGCGCAAGCCUGAUGCAGCAACGCCGCGUGAGGGAUGACGGCCUUCGGGUCGUAAAACCUCUUUUAGUAGGGAAGAAGCGAAAGUGACGGUACCUGCAGAAAAAGCACCGGCUAGCUACGUGCCAGCAGCCGCGGUAAUACGUAGGGUGCGAGCGUUGUCCGGAAUUAUUGGGCGUAAAGAGCUCGUAGGCGGUCUGUCGCGUCUGCUGUGAAAACCCGAGGCUCAACCUCGGGCCUGCAGUGGGUACGGGCAGACUAGAGUGCGGUAGGGGAGAAUGGAAUUCCUGGUGUAGCGGUGGAAUGCGCAGAUAUCAGGAGGAACACCGAUGGCGAAGGCAGUUCUCUGGGCCGUAACUGACGCUGAGGAGCGAAAGCGUGGGGAGCGAACAGGAUUAGAUACCCUGGUAGUCCACGCCGUAAACGUUGGGCGCUAGAUGUGGGGACCAUUCCACGGUUUCCGUGUCGCAGCUAACGCAUUAAGCGCCCCGCC
RNAcentral lists this ribosomal RNA (509 nucleotides) under uncultured bacterium. RNAcentral's name for it is "partial 16S ribosomal RNA". It matches the Rfam family "Bacterial small subunit ribosomal RNA", at positions 355 to 873 of the family's 1533-position model. The record is from RNAcentral.